This is a long non-coding RNA of Branchiostoma floridae (Florida lancelet), 7606 nucleotides long. RefSeq lists it as uncharacterized. Lineage: Eukaryota; Metazoa; Chordata; Leptocardii; Amphioxiformes; Branchiostomatidae. The record is from RefSeq and is a predicted model, not a curated record. The transcript is spliced from 3 exons.
UAAAAAAGCACAGAUAAUUUUAGUACACGAAAUCGGUAUGAACGGUAAUCGAUGGGUGCUUGUGUGUAGGUCCAACAUUUUGAGGUCCUCUCGAGACGUUUUGUCGAAAUCAACAUCGUCAAAUCGUACUGCGUAGGGGAAAGACUGUGUGUUUGGAGCCCGCCAAGACUGGAACACGACAGAAACACAUCGAUCCAGUCACCCAACAACGACUUCUCAACAGACAGGUCUUCCUGGUGGAUGGAAAUGAAAUGAUGUGACUGGCCCAGAGAUAAGACAGACUCGGGGCCUGCCAAGCCGGUGGUAUAUUGAAAAAAGAAACUUUCAUAUCUAGAUGGAAAAACAACACAGCCCUUUCAACCGUCCUGUCGCUUUCUUCACAUGAUUGACAAUGUGAAACCGACAAGGUGUCAGUUUCUGGCAGGCUAAAAAACUCACACAAUACUUUCAAAGCGACCUUAUGUGAUGAUACUGUGCCAUAGGGUGAUAACGGUUCUGAAGAAAGGGUAGAAAAAUCGACAUCUUCUGUUCUGAGUCGCGAUUAAUUUUCUCCUAGUUGUAAAUUGAGUUGAAAAACGACAUCAGUUGUAGAAAAAAGCGACGAGGUUGGAUACUACUUGGAAAUAUGUAGAUACAACCGCCCAAAAGUGUCGCAAGAAUUCCCUUUGUUAAUAUUUCUCACGAAGUGUCUGGAAGCAAUAAUAUCCAAUUCUACAAGGUACUAAUGCACAAAAGAUUACAAUUCCAUUACUUGAGUCAUUUGUCAUUUCUGAAACACCGUUCAACUCUUCCCUCUCGGAAGACUAGAAAAGACUUUCCAAAUUGCUUUUUCGGUCCCGAGAAAUGUUGACAGUGACAAUGACAUUUCCAUCUGGAAUUCUUUUCCAUUUCUUGGCUUCCACUUUCAGGGAAUUUGGGUUGGAUUAUUCCAGACUGCACGGCUAGGCCCAAACCCCGGCGGCGCAUUAUAUUCAGCCAUCCUCAUAAAGUAUUACGGUUUAUGGUCUUGUCUAACCGCAAACCCAUAAAAUCUGACCUCAUAGGUGACCUUUCUUGGAGAAAGGUGUCUAUCUAGGGAUGGGAAUACAGGGCUAGGGGUCUACAAUACACCAUUCUGCCCAUAAAUUUCCCUUUGUUAAAAGCCAUCCUAAACCGAAAUAUAAUCUAACCGCGGUUCUAUCACUUCCUUGCAGUUGGGCUGCCAUUAUUAAUAUGCAGAUGGCGUAGCUAUUGUGAACACGGAAGAAUAUGGGACUGGAUGGUAUAACAAGAUUAUCAGAGUUACGCGUGCGUUACUCAAUUUCCAUAGCAAGACGCAGGAUAUUCUGAAUUUCUUUUCCUUACAACUGUGUGUUUAUAAAAUGAUUACUUUUUUGUGUAAUUUUUCUUUAUAUACAAUGUGGAUUCUUUACUAUCACUAUUGCAAGAUAUGAUAUUGAGUUAAAUGUAAAGGAACAUAUUGAGGUUCGUUGGAUACGAAAUUGUUUUAUUAGAAAAAAGUGAAAUAAAGGAAGAUGAGAGAUUGACAAAACUGGUGUGGUGUGUUGUCAAGUGAGGUGUGAUUGUCCAUAUUCAUGUGUGUGUUCUAGCGUUAAGAUGAGGGCAUAUGUGGAAAUAUGAAGGAUGCAUAGGCCAGGGAGGUGAAGGCACGGUUAUGAAGAUUUUAUUACCAUAAAAAAUGGCCACAGCGCAAAUCCCACUCUCCGUAUUUCGAUAUCCGCAAAUAGCGAGGUCUACCGUUUCACUGUACAGCAGGUUGUGAUGCUGGUGAGUGGGCACCACAGCAGGGGCUGGACCUACGGGGCAGUGGUCAUCUUUGGGCCGUUUUGAAAAGUUGACCAUUAGCGAAGGGGAACCACCUGCGUCAAUUUAGCCCCAGAUUUUGAUAAAUCGUUCUUUCCAAUUUUUGCCAUGAAAAAAUAUAGGAGUUUGAAAGGACAGAGGUGAAGACACGAGUAAGAUAGAUUGAGAGCAUCCGCAGGGCAGAAUGAUAAAAUGUUUGUUCUGAAUUUCACAAAGAAAAACAAGGCUCAAGUUCCAAACUCAUUGUUCCCUUCCAAACAUCUUCAUCUAUAUGCUUCUACUGCACCUGACACGUCGAGGUGGAAACUAAAUUGUAAACGCACGAUAUACAAUUUACGUCCGACGAAUACAUGCAUAAAUAAAUUGUCCUCUCAUGUAAUAUGUCUUCAGAGGGAGUAAUCUAUCUUAUUUUCUAUCUGCGUUCUUUUCCCCCAACUGUAAUCAUACAAUUAUGUGUAAGCGGUGUAUAGAAGUAAAGUAAAGCUUUCUCAGCAUGGUUAUAAAGACAGCGUUUGUUGUAUGUUUAAUAUAAGAAUUGUGUAGUUUUGGACGUAUACAGGUCAAACCUCGGACAUGUGUGCGUUAUGGGUUCGUUUGGGCACAUAAUCAAUGAACGGAUUGGAGCACGACGGAUUAUUCUCGGGUGAAAGUUGAGCAAAUUUUGUCAGAAAUUGCAACAUAAAUCAUCUCUCUGGCAGGGGUUGGUCGCUCGGGUCAAGGGGACACUCAGAGUUUGGGAGAGAGAGAAAAAUAUCUGGAGCGUAUCUUCCCGCAGUAUUACUACCCGGUCAACUAUGGGUCAUCUCUUCAUUUAGCAGAAACAAAAUCUCGCUGAAAAAGACACGCGCCAUCACCAAACCUGCACAGAAAAUUACCCACACAUUUCCACCACCCAGACACAUUUAGCACAAAACAACAAACCAUUUGCCGUAAUGCAGAAAAUAAUGAGAAACCUAAUUAGAAAAUUAUUGGAUAUAGAAAGGUGGCAAUCGCACCUACGGUGCAAAACAUUAACAUCAAAAUGCUGUUUUCGUCCUACGCCAGGGAAGAUAAUUUACGGCGAGCUAGCAAGAGGUUGUGACAAACCGGUAACCUGCGUUUGGAGAGAAAGCUAGAUAGGGAAGGACGGGUUUACAAUGACUAUUUAUAUCAGACAACUCCUUCUAACGUUGUGAUCAAUCUGGCAGCUAUCGGGGUGGGACGUGGUGCUAGGGUCAACCUUAAAGGUGACUAAUAUGUAGAACUUGAUUAGAAAGCAGCGCUAGGAAGAAUGAGAGGAAAAGAGUUUGAGUUUGCAAAGCAAAAAAAUCCAGCUAUAAUACUUCUUGUUACUCAGUCACUCUCACAAACACACACACACACACACAAACACACACACAAACACACUUUUACUCUGUGAAAAAUAUGCAGUGUUAAUUUGACAGUGAACAGUCUUAAUUUACAUAUGCAUUCAAUUUCAACAUGUGUAUAUAGUUUACGAAUUUACAACAAGGAUACGGCACAAUAUCCUAGAUACAAUGUUGUGUGGCAUAGAAAACAUUAAGUUUAUAGAAGAGACAUUAAGAGUAUUAUGUUACACUUCUUUUAGCUGCGAGAAGCUGAAGAAGUGGUACAUGUCACAUCCGAUAUUGGUACUAUCUAUAUCCAAACUAAAGAACGCCAAGGAACAGAAUUAUUGCACCGUAAUGACCACAGAAAGAGAAGAGAAAACAACACCGUCUACAUUUCACAUCAACCAGAACCGAGUCUGUGAAUAGAACUGACGAAAUGUACACACAGCCACAAGAACAACACCGCCCAACUUUCACCCUGACCCCAGCGAAACAAUAGGCGAGCUGUUGAACAAUACACCUCCAAAAUCCACCACUAAACAGUAGCCUACCAUCCCCAAGAAUUACAAGCUACCAGCAGGAAUGAUAUAGAUAAAAUAUACGCUGUUUUGAGGUACAAAAAGCUUACCGAGAGUGCUGUUGUCUGUAGAGUGUUCAUGUGCGACUGCUUCUCACAGGUGAAAGUCCGCUCAAUGUCUAGACUGUGGGUACACAUAGCAGUGACAAGCUCUCAUAAAUAUCAGGUUAAUCACGAUCUGCAGAGAAACUGGAAUGAAAGCUGGCCGACAGUAGAGUGCUGUUUGUUGUUUUGAGAGCUGGUGUGUGUUAGAGAGAGGAGAGAUAGAGACAGGGGAGGGACCGUACGAGGCAGUGCCAGGGCACGGGGAUUACAGAAGCGGCCAUAAAACCUCUAACGACCGCCAGAACUACAAGUAAACAUUGCCGUUUUACGGGCGUUUUCACACACUCAAAACACAAUUUGACACGACUUGUACACAUGUUGAACACUUGUGUAGGUAGAAACUGAAAAAUGAGCGAGUUCCGGGCGAUAGAUCGGUCUGGAGAAGGUACAGAUUGUGCGGAAUGCCUACAGGUCCCUAAUUUAUCUCCGCUAUAGGGGUGAGGCCAUAAAUCGGCUGGGCUGAAGUAGUAAACGCACACAAAAAGCCUUCUGACACAGACAGCACUCAUAACAAACAGUUGGUACCUACACGUACGGAGUAGAAAGUCUUGUGUGUGUGCGUUUUUACUGGUAAAAACCGAAGCAGUGUUAGCAGGAAACGAGCGGCGUUUGUUGGAGACCCAUGGAUUUUAUUUGAGUGACAUCUAGAGGCGUACGCUCUAUACACAGGUAAUUAUCUUUCUUUUGAACACAUUAAAACUAGUCCGAGACUGUCAGUCAACUGCCGAAAAAACUGCCCACUUUUAUCUGCUUUAUUAACUGUUUUAAAAAUGCAAAACCAGAUACAAAACUGAGUUAGAAAACUAGUGUUAGGUAUGGUGCCCCCCUCCCCCUUUGAGUCCACAUAACAAGAGCAUUGCCCAUCUUGUGACAGAGAUAGCUUAUUUAUCAUACGAAUAAAGACACGAUCUAACAUCAACUUAAAAGUAAAGGAUUCUAAAAUUCAGAACUAGCAUUUUCAAAUUACUUCAUGGUUCUAAAUAGCAUUAAAAGUCAAAAUAUCCCCCCAGAAAACAAGAAAUUCCGAGUAAAUCUUUAAAAUAAGAAUUUAGCUCCACAGAGUCUACGAGCUUCGUUCGCUUACACGAAAGAUUUACAACUGAACAUAAAAAUAGCUGCUACAAAAAUGGCACAGAAUUACGGUCUAAGUUUUUUUCCCUUUCGUUGUAAGAAAAACAUAUCCUUAGGAACCGAACAGGAAUAGACAAGGCUAAUUUGGUACGAACAUCGUGCUACUAAAAUAAUAACCUCACUCCUAUAUGGAAAUGUUAGACCUCCCAGAUUGAAAAGGCUGGACUUUUAGGUACACAAAUAAUCGAAUUUGUAACUAGAAGAAUCAUGUAGUCCUAAUAACAAGCCAAAUGUCGUAAAAUCUUGCUUAAAAGGGGCUAAUUAACAGGUGCAACUUGUUAGAGCCAGGCGCAAAUUGGAGUGCAACAUCGCACCUUUCUGACAAAAAACAGGCGCUAAAAUUCUCACACAAGUCCCAACACCGACAAGAAAAUUCGAGCAGUUUAUGGCGAUCAAAAACAGCUGAAAUAGACGAAGAAAACUGGCAGAUUAUUAGUCGUAAUUAGCUGUACAAACGCGUUAGUCCACUGAAGCAUUGUGUCUGGAAACUCUGUAGAAAUGAAGGGUCAAGUCCACAUUUUCGUUAAAACAAAGGCUUAAAGCCUAAGUGAGAGACAUGAAUAUGUAACACAAAGUAUGGGAGAUAUGGAAUAAUAUAGACGGUGCAAUAUGACUGCUAUAGUUAAUCCGAAAAUGUACUUGUAGAUGAAUUAUAGCGCCUACGAAAGCCACAUUAGACGUCAUGUAUCUAAAAUUAUAACAACAAACGAAUAAAUCACUUGCAAACACGUUGUAAAUCUUUUUCCAACCUCAAAAAAUAUCACUGGAAGUUAAAAGUCGUUUUCAAGCUGGUUUUGUAGAGAAAAUGUGUUAUAAAUAUAGACUGCUGUCGUUUUCGCGCGGGAAAGUGACAAAUCCAAUAUGGCGGCCCAACGUUGAGAGAAAAUCAACGAAAGAAAUGCUGUACUAGCUGCAACAUGCAACCAGGAGUAAAAAUAUGACAGAGAGUUACCACCAAAAAAGUUUCCUCUCAAAAUGAGACCAAAAAUGCCCGUGGGUGAGUCCUGACGGACUCGGAAACCUAGAAGUAUUCAUGAAGCGAGGGAGAAAUACGCCUGAGUGUCAAAGGUCACAUUGGCUUCAAACCUGCCCGUCACUACAGUCGCUGCAAACUUUGAUCAUUUUCUACGGGAGGCCAAACAUUCCAUCGACCCUGCUCACCUACGAACGGCCCCGACGCCUUCCCUCCCCAGAAGUAUUGAAAAUCUUUCACCGCUAGCUGAUAUUUGCGCCCCACGAUAUGACAAAGAAGGCGACCCUGUGUACGGGGUGACCGCCAAACGUUCCAAACGGGAAAUCUAUUUCUUCAAAUACCACGACACAAAUUUACAGGCGCCGGUUUUCCCUGGAGUAGAAUACUUGUCGACUCUCGGUCGUAUCCGACUAAUAAAAGUCGUGCCGGUUCGCCUAGAAUCUUGGAGAAGGUCUCGAAAAAAAAUUCUGGCGACGAUGGACUGACUUUGUGUACUGUAGGGUAAAAGGUCACAUUGAGAGUCACGAAACCCAAGUGAGCAAGCGUCAAAACAUAGUCUAGACGACCUACCAUGCUUGCCACUUGCUCAGAAAUUAUAGAAAAAAAUGGAAAGAUUUUAAAGAAGCAAACACGCGGACAUAUGGUGAGGGAAAGAGGCAUAACACAGAUGACACUACAGUCUACGGUUGGUGUGCGCCGUCUGCUGUAUCCACACAACGUCUCAGCCGAAACUCAACGUGGAAUCUAUCUCAGGCAUCCCAAGAAGAAGACACAACAAUCUUAAGAUGCUACCGUCACAUUUGGUGUGUCAUAAUGUCUUCAGCACAUUCCUUGACCUAUCUAAGCACUCGUAGUUGAGGACGUACUCAAUCUUUGAAAAUCCUACCGACCAUUUUCGUUGCUAGAAGACAACGAACCACCAAUUCUGACUGAUGGCGUCGUACGAAACUAGCAAUAGCACAAUUCAUAUUUAUAACUCUAUAGAUGUACGGUUAACAGCAUAAAGUUUAGUAGAAAACGCAGCAGUGCCUCAUUUAUAUUUAAAACUUUUCCAUAAGAUCGUAAGAUACGUAUUUUGGACCUGUAUAUAUUUUAGCUGAAGUAUAUAUGGCCUGAAUUUUGAAGAGACCUUUUACUAUCAGUUUCGUAUUGUCUCUAUUCUAAAACCUGUGUUAAGCUGAAGAAAAGAAUAGAAGUACUUUACCACCAAAAGAGGUGUGUACGUUGUCACGUCGGCCGAACGAAAUGACCUGUCAACUUUGGAGGUCGCCCGCAAACAAACAAUCUCACCAGAAAUAUAUAUUGCUCCAGAUAAGAUACUUUCCAACCCGAGAUGAAAUCUACCAGAGUCAUCAAGUAAAAUGGACUACAUGUAAUGUAAAUUUCAACUUCAUUUGGAGGGGGUUGACCCAAUGUUGGUCUGAUGGCGCGAAUUGUAAUGAACAAGGCGAGAAGAAGAAUGUUGUAAUCUCAACGACCUACUUCAAACUAAGGGCACGACUUCGCCCACAAAUCAUGUGCUCUAGACUCUACAUUACAGCAUCAACAUAUACCAAAGUUACAAGUGUGUACGGUAAAGUUACAAGUAAGGUAGGGAAACUUUUAACAAGCGGUACCUACACUGUUACUCAUUGUACAAGGCGUAUGUUCUUUCAAUGAAUUUAAUAAAACAUGAAAUUGAUCCAA